This 88-nucleotide transfer RNA is filed under the name Sulfitobacter litoralis. RNAcentral's name for it is "tRNA-Ser". It matches the Rfam family "tRNA". Rfam says of the family: Transfer RNA (tRNA) molecules are approximately 80 nucleotides in length. Their secondary structure includes four short double-helical elements and three loops (D, anti-codon, and T loops). Further hydrogen bonds mediate the characteristic L-shaped molecular structure. tRNAs have two regions of fundamental functional importance: the anti-codon, which is responsible for specific mRNA codon recognition, and the 3' end, to which the tRNAs corresponding amino acid is attached (by aminoacyl-tRNA synthetases). tRNAs cope with the degeneracy of the genetic code in two manners: having more than one tRNA (with a specific anti-codon) for a particular amino acid; and 'wobble' base-pairing, i.e. permitting non-standard base-pairing at the 3rd anti-codon position. RNAcentral also lists the same sequence under 1 other name. The record is from RNAcentral. Lineage: Bacteria; Pseudomonadati; Pseudomonadota; Alphaproteobacteria; Rhodobacterales; Roseobacteraceae.
GGGCAGGUGGCAGAGCGGCCGAAUGCACCGGUUUCGAAAGCCGGCGAACCGAGAGGUUCCGCGAGUUCGAAUCUCGCCCUGCCCGCCA